GCCGCCGCCGCCACUAAAGC
RNAcentral lists this non-coding RNA (20 nucleotides) under Arabidopsis thaliana (thale cress). Lineage: Eukaryota; Viridiplantae; Streptophyta; Magnoliopsida; Brassicales; Brassicaceae. The record is from RNAcentral.